RNAcentral lists this long non-coding RNA (908 nucleotides) under Medicago truncatula (barrel medic). RNAcentral describes it as "lncRNA gene30163". The record is from RNAcentral. Lineage: Eukaryota; Viridiplantae; Streptophyta; Magnoliopsida; Fabales; Fabaceae.
CACAAAUAUAAAAACCCUCUGAUGAAACCGCUAAUAGAAGAAGCAUAGAGAUCUCUUUUUUUUUUUUUUUUUUUUUUAAUUAUUGACCAUUACCAUGAGAUGUUUUUAAUCGCAACUUAUUUGUUUCAAAGUUCAAACCUGUGGAUCAUAGAAUACUGCUGCACAAAACACUUCUCAAAAUUUUCUUGAUGCACUUUGUUGAUCAUACAAAAACGCUACCCAAGAAGAUACAGGAGGUAAGUUCUUUCUUGGCUGCAACAUUCUAGGAGCAUAAUGCACAAUUCCAUCUCUUGACCUCGCUCAAGAUGGAUUUUAAGAUGACCAGCUUCUUCAAAAUCUACACUGGACAUCUUUGUCAGAGCCUUCCUCUCCCUCUGAUUCUUCUUCCACACCCAACAUAGUUUUCUUCAACUCUUCACAACGCUUUCCAAAUUAGGGAAAAGUCGGGGUUAUAUAUUCCAAAUAAUUUUUUCAAACAAUUCUAGGCAACCAUAAGUCUGGACAUGAUGGGCUUCAGUUUUUUACUCUGUUUGGAAUUUAUAAUAUAAAAAAAAAGUAACGAUUAUACAAUCUAAACAAAGGGCAUUUUCGGAAGAAAAAAAUAUAGCGUGCAAGAAUACCAUAGGGUGGAAAAAGUAAUAGUCCUCUAAUAAUUAAGUAUGAUUCAUCACAGUUGUAUAUUAAUUAAAUAUUCUUCUAUAAAAAAUAAAAUAUUGUUAUACAACAAUGAGAAAGAUGUUUGAUCACUUUGUGAAUACAGAGUAUGUGGAUAAAUGUUUGUGGCUCUUAAGUAUUCUGCUUGAAUUUGUGUAUAGAUUUAAUCAAUUAUACCAUAUAUGUUACUCUAUUACAUAUUACUAAUCAAUCAAUUAGAAACUUGGGGAUGUUGCCUUGUUGGUCAUUUUGAC